RNAcentral lists this long non-coding RNA (570 nucleotides) under Nicotiana benthamiana. RNAcentral's name for it is "long non-coding RNA (NBEN_LNC008179)". Lineage: Eukaryota; Viridiplantae; Streptophyta; Magnoliopsida; Solanales; Solanaceae. The record is from RNAcentral.
CGAUCUUCUAUUAGACUGUUGUUUAGCUCUUUCUAUCUAUUUUUCCUUAUCUUUGUCCUUUUUCUUUGGGUUGCUUUUCGUGCUUCUAAUUUCUGCUUCAACCGUCCAUGAUAAGCAUAAUCAAAGACAAUUUUAGAAGAGUCUUCAAACACUCUUUGCCGUCUGCCAUAGACAUAAUGCUAACAGUGACUCAACUUUUUACGUAUUUAUUGCAUGUAAGACUCAACUCUUUCCCCCUUCUCAAUUCAAUAUUUUCUUUGUUGCGCUACUAUUUUAUCUGUUCCGAUGCCAUAUAUAAAUGUUAGUUAGUGUUGGGUGUUAAUUUGAGUUCUUUUCCUCCAUUUUCAUGUGUUUUCUUUCUUACAGUUUUUUUUAAAUAUUUUUCCCCUUUUGGUUACCCGAUUUUAUACAUACAUAUUCUGAUUUACGGCCUUUUAAGUUGGUCUUGAGAUUACUGAGAAAUUAUGGAUUACAAAUAUUUUGUGGUCUCAGUUUGUGCAUCCUUCCAGUUUGUGCAAGGAUUGCAAGGUUAUUCCGGGAGAGUCUCUUUCAACUCUUCAUAGGCUCCUA